This 253-nucleotide ribosomal RNA is filed under the name uncultured bacterium. RNAcentral describes it as "partial 16S ribosomal RNA". It matches the Rfam family "Bacterial small subunit ribosomal RNA", at positions 524 to 776 of the family's 1533-position model. The record is from RNAcentral.
GACGUAGGAUGCAAGCGUUGUCCGGAAUUAUUGGGCGUAAAGAGUUCGUAGGCGGUUAUCUAAGUCUGGUGUUAAAGCCCGAAGCUCAACUUCGGCAUGGCAUUGGAAACUGGAUGGCUAGAGUGUGGUAGAGGUAUCGGGAAUUCCUGGUGUAGCGGUGAAAUGCGUAGAUAUCAGGAGGAACACCAAUGGCGAAGGCAGCUCGCUGGGACGGUACUGACGCUGAGACGCGAAAGCAUGGGGAGCAAACAGG